GACGAACGCUGGCGGCGUGCUUAACACAUGCAAGUCGAACGAUGAAGCGCCAGCUUGCUGGUGUGGAUUAGUGGCGAACGGGUGAGUAACACGUGAGUAACCUGCCCCCUACUCUGGGAUAAGCCUGGGAAACUGGGUCUAAUACUGGAUAUGACCAAUCACUGCAUGGUGUGUUGGUGGAAAGAUUUUGUGGUGGGGGAUGGACUCGCGGCCUAUCAGCUUGUUGGUGGGGUAAUGGCCUACCAAGGCGACGACGGGUAGCCGGCCUGAGAGGGCGACCGGCCACACUGGGACUGAGACACGGCCCAGACUCCUACGGGAGGCAGCAGUGGGGAAUAUUGCACAAUGGGCGAAAGCCUGAUGCAGCGACGCCGCGUGAGGGAUGACGGCCUUCGGGUUGUAAACCUCUUUCACCAGGGACGAAGCUAACGUGACGGUACCUGGAGAAGAAGCACCGGCUAACUACGUG
RNAcentral lists this ribosomal RNA (469 nucleotides) under uncultured bacterium. RNAcentral's name for it is "partial 16S ribosomal RNA". It matches the Rfam family "Bacterial small subunit ribosomal RNA", at positions 28 to 507 of the family's 1533-position model. The record is from RNAcentral.